GCUUCCGCCUCAUUCCGGCCUCCGUCUCCCGGAGGGGCUCGCGGUUCUCCGAGCCCCGAGCGAACCCGAGCCUCUAGUCCCGCCCCGCACGUGUGUGCGCGCGCGUGCGCGCUCCCUGCUUCUCGCCUGAGGGCUUGGCGACCCUCGGGCAGGCACGGGAGGGGAAGCUGGGGCAAGAAGUCGGCCCGGGAAGCGGAAGCCGAGGCAGGGAGGUUGCAGAGCGCGAGGCCACCCCGUCCCCUUCCUCCCAGGCUGGCGCAGCUGGGAGCCUGACGCGACUCGGGUCUGCUUGCGGGAGGGGCACGCCUGGGCUGAGCUGCCGGCCGGUGCCUGCCAGGUGCGCGGCGCGGGGCUGCGGCGGGCGGGCGCCCCAGAGAGGCAUCGCGGGUGGAGGGCGAGUCUCGAGAGCUUGCGGAACGGUCCAGCGCUAGGUUUGAAGCUGAGCCUUACGGAAAGUCCAUUCUCGGGCCGGCGGCUCCCAGGCUGGCAGCAAAGACCUCCCCUGAUAGGGGCAGGAGAGCACAACCCAGAGGCCCGACCGACGGGUUCUACCCCAGCACCUCCCUGGUGGGGCGCGGAAUUUGGCUCCGCGUCGCCAUCUCGUGGCCUUAUGGAGCAGCGCCUGCCUGGUAACUGGGGAUGUCGCAAGGCGGGAAGCGACCGAGGCACGCGAAGCCCUCAGGAGUGAUUGGCUUCCGAGACCCCGCCCCCUUGUUAGGGAGGUCCUGGAGCUGGGACUGCGGUUACCAUGGCAACGGUUGAGCAGGCCCAGUCCCUUCCUCUGGCCACCCAGAAUCCUGCUCAGGACCUCGCCGGAGACCGGGAUGUGGACACCAGCGUUCCUUUUCAUCCUCCUUGCUGAAUAACCUGUGUAGAUGAAGAUGCUGCCUCCCAAAGCAGCAAGGCCUUCACCAACCAAUGAGCCUGCAUACGUACUGUGGCACCACACAGCCCGUAUCUAGGUGGAGACGGCAGGAUGUAGACCUGGUCUUCAGCCCCCUGAAGAGUGCCAUGUCCUUGCUGAGCGCUGCAGUUUUUUGUAUCUGCUAAAACUGUCCAUGGGCCCCUCGGCUGGCUCCACGUUUUGGCUACUGUGCAUUGUGCUGUAGUGAACCUGGGUAUGUGGGUGUCUCUAUAGCAUGCUGGCUUCAGUGACUUCAGGAUAGACCCAGGACUGGUAUCAAUAUAGGGCAUAUGAUAUGGGGCCUCCAAAUAAUGUAAGGAAAUAUUAUAACUCCCAACCUGCUAGACAUCCGAAAUAUGGAGUUAGUGUUCUCUAAACUUGAAGAAUGAAUUCUAGGAACAACGGAGGUUAAGAGUAGGAAGAAUUUUUUUUUUUUUUAAUUUUGCUGGGCGUGGUGGUGCACGCCUAUAGUCCCAGCACUGGGAGGCUGAGGCAGGAGGAUCACUUCAAGUUCAAGGCCAGCCUGAACUACAAAGGGAGACCCUGCCUCAAACCCCCCCCCAAAUUUUUAUUAGUACAUGUUCACAGUACAUAAUGAUUACAUUCAUUGUUGGUAAUUGGUACCUGUACAUAACAAACACAUCUUAAUUCCUUUUAUUUCCUCUCAUCUCCAUCUAUCUCUUUCUCUUUCUCUUUUUUUUUUUUUUGGUAGUGGGGAUCAAACUCAGGAUCUUGGACUUGCAAAGCAUGUGGCUGAACCACUGACCUAAAUCCCUGGCCCUCCAUCUAUCUCUUGAUGCAGGCGACACCAGCUUUGGAGAAAGAAAUGCAUAAAAUUAUUCCAGAACAUUCGAUCAUUCUAGACAGCAAAGAAGUUAUCAACCAAUCAAGGAUUCAAGGGUCAAUUUUUAAAUUUACUAUUUUU
Long non-coding RNA from Heterocephalus glaber (naked mole-rat), 1829 nucleotides. The record is from Ensembl. NCBI's taxonomy places the organism in Eukaryota, Metazoa, Chordata, Mammalia, Rodentia, Bathyergidae.